RNAcentral lists this ribosomal RNA (952 nucleotides) under Chryseobacterium gleum. Its description in RNAcentral is "bacterial SSU rRNA". It matches the Rfam family "Bacterial small subunit ribosomal RNA", at positions 434 to 1393 of the family's 1533-position model. The record is from RNAcentral. Lineage: Bacteria; Pseudomonadati; Bacteroidota; Flavobacteriia; Flavobacteriales; Weeksellaceae.
UUUGUAUAGGGAUAAACCUACCCUCGUGAGGGUAGCUGAAGGUACUAUACGAAUAAGCACCGGCUAACUCCGUGCCAGCAGCCGCGGUAAUACGGAGGGUGCAAGCGUUAUCCGGAUUUAUUGGGUUUAAAGGGUCCGUAGGCGGAUCUGUAAGUCAGUGGUGAAAUCUCACAGCUUAACUGUGAAACUGCCAUUGAUACUGCAGGUCUUGAGUGUUGUUGAAGUAGCUGGAAUAAGUAGUGUAGCGGUGAAAUGCAUAGAUAUUACUUAGAACACCAAUUGCGAAGGCAGGUUACUAAGCAACAACUGACGCUGAUGGACGAAAGCGUGGGGAGCGAACAGGAUUAGAUACCCUGGUAGUCCACGCCGUAAACGAUGCUAACUCGUUUUUGGUAUUUCGGUAUCAGAGACUAAGCGAAAGUGAUAAGUUAGCCACCUGGGGAGUACGAACGCAAGUUUGAAACUCAAAGGAAUUGACGGGGGCCCGCACAAGCGGUGGAUUAUGUGGUUUAAUUCGAUGAUACGCGAGGAACCUUACCAAGGCUUAAAUGGGAAAUGACAGGCUUAGAAAUAGGCUUUUCUUCGGACAUUUUUCAAGGUGCUGCAUGGUUGUCGUCAGCUCGUGCCGUGAGGUGUUAGGUUAAGUCCUGCAACGAGCGCAACCCCUGUCACUAGUUGCCAUCAUUAAGUUGGGGACUCUAGUGAGACUGCCUACGCAAGUAGAGAGGAAGGUGGGGAUGACGUCAAAUCAUCACGGCCCUUACGCCUUGGGCCACACACGUAAUACAAUGGCCGGUACAGAGGGCAGCUACACAGCGAUGUGAUGCAAAUCUCGAAAGCCGGUCUCAGUUCGGAUUGGAGUCUGCAACUCGACUCUAUGAAGCUGGAAUCGCUAGUAAUCGCGCAUCAGCCAUGGCGCGGUGAAUACGUUCCCGGGCCUUGUACACACCGC